This 353-nucleotide long non-coding RNA is filed under the name Medicago truncatula (barrel medic). Its description in RNAcentral is "long non-coding RNA (MTRU_LNC002130)". Lineage: Eukaryota; Viridiplantae; Streptophyta; Magnoliopsida; Fabales; Fabaceae. The record is from RNAcentral.
AAGACAAGAGAAAGGUGCAAAUUACUGAUGGCCCUAUAAAUAAAUCAGUUGCCUGUAUGAAAGAUGGUAAAGCCUUGAGCAGGUUCUGGGGAGAUGAAGACACUGAUGCUACUGACAUCAUAAUUGACCUAGAAACUGAUUCUGAAGUGAAUAAAGUCAAGUUUCCAGAUGCUACUAAGUACCUGAUCUCACCUUAUGAUGUGGUAAAGCAAACAAAAAAAGGCAGACCCAAGAAGCAAAAGAGUCCAACAGACAAAAAUGGAGGAUCGGAAAAUGAGUGCAUUCAAACCCGUGCUAAGAGUGACAUAUCUAAAGCUUAUAAAUCAUGAUGUGUAUGCCUUGGUUUAGGCUUU